GACAGUCACACUGCAGGAAGCUUGA
Molecule: non-coding RNA, 25 nt
Filed under: Cricetulus griseus (Chinese hamster)
Lineage: Eukaryota; Metazoa; Chordata; Mammalia; Rodentia; Cricetidae
Source: RNAcentral